This 253-nucleotide ribosomal RNA is filed under the name uncultured bacterium. RNAcentral's name for it is "partial 16S ribosomal RNA". It matches the Rfam family "Bacterial small subunit ribosomal RNA", at positions 524 to 776 of the family's 1533-position model. The record is from RNAcentral.
UACGUAGGGUGCAAGCGUUACUCGGAAUUACUGGGCGUAAAGCGUGCGCAGGCGGUUUUGUUAGUCUGUCGUGAAAUCCCCGGGCUCAACCUGGGAAUUGCGAUGGAGACUGCAAGGCUAGAAUCUGGCAGAGGGGGGUAGAAUUCCACGUGUAGCAGUGAAAUGCGUAGAGAUGUGGAGGAACACCGAUGGCGAAGGCAGCCCCCUGGGUCAAGAUUGACGCUCAUGCACGAAAGCGUGGGGAGCAAACAGG